This is a long non-coding RNA of Sapajus apella (tufted capuchin), 512 nucleotides long. RefSeq lists it as uncharacterized. Lineage: Eukaryota; Metazoa; Chordata; Mammalia; Primates; Cebidae. The record is from RefSeq and is a predicted model, not a curated record. The transcript has 3 exons.
CCAAGGUUCUUGAUCUCCUGCUCUCUCAAGAAUGAGAGAGGGGAACAGGUGCGCUCGCAAAGUAAAUACUAGACCCCAAAUAGUUUUUUUUGCAGGAAGUGAAUAUAUUUAGGUAAAGAAAAGGGGAAAAAAAGGAGAAGAAGAGAGAAAACUUCCACAAAGAGUGUGGAAGGAGACUCCAGAGGGGAAAUCCGCCCUGAUGAGGGAGACAGGGACUUUUAACCUGGAAGGAAUUCUGUCCUUCUCCAAGUCCCUUGGCCAAUGAAAAGAGUUCCCGAAAACUUCUGCUGGAGUGAUUAACCUUUGGUUCUUCCUGCAUGCGUGAAAAUUUAAAACAGAGACCUUUAAACCUCCUGGGUGGAGAGAGAUGGGAGCGAGGGCAUGGUGCUGGGAAGUUCUUGCCCUUGAAACUACACCCCCUAGUGCACCCGGAAAGAGGACACCUUCCCUCAUUGCCCCCUCUGAACAGGAAAGUUCAACUUCUGUUGGAACAUGGGCAAUUAUUGCUGUUU